RNAcentral lists this ribosomal RNA (1037 nucleotides) under Psychrobacter sp. RNAcentral describes it as "bacterial SSU rRNA". It matches the Rfam family "Bacterial small subunit ribosomal RNA", at positions 408 to 1533 of the family's 1533-position model. Lineage: Bacteria; Pseudomonadati; Pseudomonadota; Gammaproteobacteria; Moraxellales; Moraxellaceae. The record is from RNAcentral.
AAGAAGGCCUUCUUGGUUGUAAAGCACUUUCAGCAGUGAAGAAGACCUAACGGUUAAUACCCGUUAGCGAUGACAUUAGCUGCAGAAUAAGCACCGGCUAACUCUGUGCCAGCAGCCGCGGUAAUACAGAGGGUGCAAGCGUUAAUCGGAAUUACUGGGCGUAAAGCGAGCGUAGGUGGCUUGAUAAGUCAGAUGUGAAAUCCCCGGGCUUAACCUGGGAACUGCAUCUGAUACUGUUAAACUAGAGUAGGUGAGAGGGAAGUAGAAUUCCAGGUGUAGCGGUGAAAUGCGUAGAGAUCUGGAGGAAUACCGAUGGCGAAGGCAGCCUUCCUGGCAUCAUACUGACACUGAGGCUCGAAAGCGUGGGUAGCAAACAGGAUUAGAUACCCUGGUAGUCCACGCCGUAUACGAUGUCUACUAGUCGUUGGGUCCCUUGAGGACUUACUGACGCAGCUAACGCAAUAAGUAGACCGCCUGGGGAGUACGGCCGCAAGGUUAAAACUCAAAUGAAUUGACGGGGGCCCGCACAAGCGGUGGAGCAUGUGGUUUAAUUCGAUGCAACGCGAAGAACCUUACCUGGUCUUGACAUACACAGAAUCUUGUAGAGAUACAAGAGUGCCUUCGGGAAUUGUGAUACAGGUGCUGCAUGGCUGUCGUCAGCUCGUGUCGUGAGAUGUUGGGUUAAGUCCCGCAACGAGCGCAACCCUUGUCCUUAUUUACCAGCGGGUUAAGCCGGGACUCUAAGGAUACUGCCAGUGACAAACUGGAGGAAGGCGGGGACGACGUCAAGUCAUCAUGGCCCUUACGACCAGGGCUACACACGUGCUACAAUGGUAGGUACAGAGGCAGCUACCAGCUGAUGUGUGCGAUCUCAAAGCCUAUCGUAUCCGAUGGAUCUGCACUCACUCCUGAAUAGGAUCGCUAGUAUCGCGAUCAAAUGCCGUGAUACUUCCCGGCCUGUCACCCGCCGUCCACAUGGAUUGAUGCACAGAAUGGUACCGACCUUUAGACGCAUCCACGUUUGGUGAGAUGGUGAC